Molecule: ribosomal RNA, 169 nt
Filed under: uncultured bacterium
Lineage: Bacteria
Description: partial 16S ribosomal RNA
Rfam family: Bacterial small subunit ribosomal RNA
Source: RNAcentral
CCUACGGGAGGCAGCAGUGGGGAAUUUUGCACAAUGGGCGAAAGCCUGAUGCAGCAACGCCGCGUGAGGGAUGAAGGUCUUCGGGUUGUAAACCUUUGUCUUCUGGGACGAUAAUGACGGUACCUAAGGAGGAAGCCACGGCUAACUACGUGCCAGCAGCCGCGGUAAU